GACGAACGCUGGCGGCGUGGAUUAGGCAUGCAAGUCGGACGGUAGGGCUUUAUCGUAAGAUAGAGUUUGAGAGUGGCGAACGGGUGAGUAACACGUAGGAAUCUACCCUUAAGACGGGGACAACCCAGGGAAACUUGGGCUAAUACCGGAUGAGAGUGCGAGAGAUUGCAUUUAAAAGGAUGGCGAAAGUUGUCGCUUAGGGAUGAGCCUGCGGUCUAUUAGUUAGUUGGUGAGGUAAGAGCUCACCAAGGCGAUGAUAGAUAGGCGGCCUUAACGGGUGGUCGCCCACACUGGGAUUGAGAUACGGCCCAGACUCCUACGGGAGGCAGCAGUCGAGAAUAGUCUACAAUGGCCGGAAGGCUGAUAGUGCGACGCCGCGUGAACGAGGGAGCCCUUCGGGGUGUAAAGUUCUUUUCCAGGGUAGAGAAACUUACGCACGUGUUGCGUGACUGACGGUACCCUGGGAAUAAGCAUCGGCUAACUCCGUG
RNAcentral lists this ribosomal RNA (488 nucleotides) under uncultured bacterium. RNAcentral describes it as "bacterial SSU rRNA". It matches the Rfam family "Bacterial small subunit ribosomal RNA", at positions 28 to 507 of the family's 1533-position model. The record is from RNAcentral.